UUUUUCUUUUUCUUUUUUUUUUUCACACAAGCACCAAAUCUGAACCACUUUGGUCAGAUACAACAAUGAUUAAAAAAAAUCACAAUAAUUUCGCACAUUCAUCAUUCUUUCUAAUGAUUUGCAAUCUGGUAAUUCCACAAACUUAUUAGAAGCCUGUGGAAGUAAUUGAAGCCUCACAUGCCGAUCUAUUUGAAGGCACCGGAGCAUGGUGAGCUUAUCAUUAUUGAUUCUUUCAGGUACGCUCCAUGAUAUCGAUAUGUCGCAGCAUUCAUGUCUCUUCUAUUCAAAUUUCUUGCUAAUUUUGCACUCUUAAAAGUUUUUAAUGGAUAUAUUAUUCUCAUUUAUGCAAUUGUCGUUAUACAUUGGCUUUAUUGAAUCACAAUAAUUGAUUAUUGGAUUUGGUGCAUACCAAUUUCUACAUAUGGGGAUUUGAUGCAUACCAAUUUCUACAUAUGGCAGGGUAGAGACGAAUAAAACCUUUAUGAGAAUCUGAUAUUGCAACAUGUCUUCAAGCCAUGAAUCAAUCAGUUCUCACCAGUAGGCACUCGACCCAAUGCCAUCUCUCAUGCCAACGACCCCUCCCUUCCCAUUCCCAAAAAUGUCAUAUGUUUCCUGUUUGUUUCAUCAAAUGAAAGUUGUGUAUCAAUCAAAAUUUUCAAAUAGAACCAAAAGACUUGCUAAUAUGGGUAUGAGGAAUGACAGGUGUUUAUCAAUGAAAACAACAGGCUGAACCCAACCAUUGGUCUAGCAGUUUAGUCCCUCGACUGCUUGAGUGUGAAAAACCUUUCUAACCCAGGCUGGGAACUCUCUUUCUAACAUUUGGGUGAGGGAGGCCACACAUAAGGAAGGGCCAUAUCCUUUACGCAGCCAUAACCCAGUGGAUCUCUAACAAAACUUCCCUGGACCAUAUAAGAGAUCAAAUGUAAUUAGUUUAAAUAUAAAUGGCAUGGAGACUAAUGUAAUCUUCGUCCCUGUAAGUUGGGAUAUCAGAGUGCUUCUCAUCCAAAAAUUAAUCAACAAUACAGACAUGUUAAACCCAUCUUAAUAAUUAGUUUGUAUUAACCCAACCUCAACUCCUACACAGUGCCCUCUUCGCUUGCCUUGGCCUUAUAUACACCAUUGCCAGACAUGGCAUGUCUAAUCUAAUUUGCAAAAAGAACUUCCUUCAAUAGGCUUAGCUAGUCUGCCAAGGAUGGCUCUUUAGCUGGUUCAACAACCAAUGGCUCCAAUUUCUCAGCCUUACCAUCUCCUUUAGGUAUGAUAAGACCAUAUCCUCCAGCUUUUCGUUUAUAAACAAUAUUAAUGUCACCAGUUUCUUCAUUCCGGAAACCAUAGAAAUCAUGAUCAACAUUUUCUAGCUGCUCAAUGGCUUCAGAGACAGUUAAAGGUGGCAUGUCAAAAUAUUUUGUCCGAACAACCUGAAAAUUGGAUGACAUAAUGAGUCUUUCACAGAGAAGAAAGUUAGGCACAACCACAAUCAGAAAUGUACACACAUUGUAAACAAGCUUAUAACCAUGAAAUCACUCUCAUCCAAUGGUUGUAAGCUUGUUUAACUGAGCGCACAACACACAAAAUCAUUUUACUACCAUAAUAUAAAAAGGUCAAGAUGGAAAUAGUUCUUCGAAUAUAUUUUGGUGAAACAAAUACAGCGUGUAAUAGUGUAUAGAUGUCAAGGUAAAUGAAUGAGAGUAUCAUUGGCAAUAAUUUACUAAUUAAGAAACUGAACUAUGCGCAAAUCACAUGUGCCAGUCACCGAAGAGUGCAAAUGGAAGUCCCUUUGGGAACAGAGCAACUCCAUGACAGUAACUAAAAACUCAAGAAUAUAAUGAACUGAAUUUAUAUGAUCUGGAAGCCAAAUUUGGGAUUAUAAGCACACAUAAGUGGCAGAGCAUAUUGCAACACAAACCAAAAUAGUAAUUUGUUGAAGCAGAAGUGUUUAAGAGAAAACCUCAUCAAUAUAGUCCUCAUCCUCAUGUUGGGGAACUCCAUCUACAUCAUCUUUCACUGCUUCUGCCACUGGCUCCCUCACCUUCAAUCUGUUGAAACCCUUCAUAUGCCGGCCACGGUCAGACUCCUUCUCCUUAAUCUUCCUCAACUUUCUUUGUAUGAUUGAUGACACCAAGUCAAUACUCGCAUAUAUUGUCUCAGCAUCUUCCUCUGCCCGAAUCACUCCAUGCUUCUUGGUAAACAAGGUCACCUCGCAUCUACGAAUCCUUGGGCCUUUCCCCAACUCUCCACCUCUAAAAGACAACCUAACAUCGACUUCUUGGACGAGAUGGCUAUGCUUUUGAACUGCCUUGCCCACCUUCUCUUCCACAUGAUUUUUCACUGUAUCCGUCAACUCCAAGUUUUUGCCUUGAAUUAUCAAUUUAACAGAGGAGAGCGGUCCGUCCCAUGACAUCCGAACCGAGCUUCUUCUUCUUCGUCUAACUUCAACAUACUUAACAUUGCUAUCCAAAAUGAGUGGGUUUAAGAAACUGUGUUUCUGUGAUAACGAAGAUGUGAAACCAAGCUUUUUGGAACUGAGAGCACAGAUAGAGGAAAAGGAAGAAGAGGUAGCUGCCUUUGCUGAUAAUGACGUACGGGGAUGAUGGAAGCUUAUUUGCAGUGAUCCUAGAAGAGUCGUCAUUUGAUAUUUUGAUGGAAAGCU
RNAcentral lists this unclassified non-coding RNA (2650 nucleotides) under Hevea brasiliensis (rubber tree). The record is from RNAcentral. Lineage: Eukaryota; Viridiplantae; Streptophyta; Magnoliopsida; Malpighiales; Euphorbiaceae.